GCAUAAAAGAAAGAUUGACGCGUCUUUGGCUGGAAUAGCGGUGGCCAUCGAAAGCUAGUGGCGCUUUUUCGGUGAUUGAUUGAGAUGUUACUGGGAAAAUACACAACAGUUUAACAAUUGUUUUUUUUUUUUCAUUACCAAAUAUGUCUAAUCGUGUUUUGCUCCAUGAAUGAGGUGCAAUUUCUUCACAAGAUUGUGAAAAUGGUUUCAUUUGCGCUACAUUUCACAUGCAGCUGGUAUAGUGAUGGGUUUGAUCAGAUCUAAAUGUACAGCUCAAUAGCUGGAAGAGCUGUGCCGGGCCACUAGGAACUGGCAAAACUGCCCUCGCCAUGGCUAUUGCUCAAGAUUUAGUCAACAAGGUUCCUUUUUGUCCUAUGGUGGGCUCAAAAGUCUUUAGUACUGAAAAAAAAAUGAGGUUUUAAUGGAAAACCUUCGGAGAGCUAUUGGACUUUGUAUCAACAAAACUAAUCUUAGGAAGAAGAAGUCAUUGAACUUACCCCAGUUGAAACUGAGAAUAAAUGGGAGGUAUGGUAGGAUGUGGCAAAACUGUCAGUCAUGUUUAAGCAUUGUACUGAAGACAGCUAAAGGAACAAAGCAGUUCAAGUUGGAUCCUUCCAUAUUUUAUCUACAUAUCUCUCCAGAAGGAACAUGUUGAAAUGGACGACAUCAUAAACAUUGAAGCUAAGAGCGGAGCGGUUAAACGUCAAGGCCGAUUCGAUACGUUUGCCACCGAGUUUGAUCUCGAAGCCGAAGAAUAGGUCCCUCUUCCCAAAGGCGAUGUUCACAAAAAGAAAGAAAUUGUCCAAGACGUCACCCUAUACCAUUUGGACGUGGCCAAUGGCCAUCCACAUCAGCGAGGCCGAGACAAUAUUUCCAUGAUGAGACAGUUAACGAGGCCGAAAAAAAGAGAUAACAGACAAGCUGAGUAGAGAAAUCAACAGAGUAGUCGACAAGUACAUUGACCAGGGAAUUGCAGAGCUUGUACCCGGCGUGUUAUCCAUCGACGAAAUUCACUUGCUGGACAUGGAAUGCUUUGCCUAUCUCCAAAAAACGUUAACGUUCGCUCUUCUCCAUCACCAAUCAAGAUAUAAAAGAAGUCUCAAUGCCAAAUCAUCAGCCAAGAUCCUGACGCAAGACAAAGACAAAUAUAUGAAAUGAGGAAUCGAGUAAAAUUUGCUUGUCUGUGUUGGUUUUUUUUUCCAUUUUUUCCUAAUAAAAUUAUCCUCCACGAAAAACCAA
Molecule: long non-coding RNA, 1239 nt
Filed under: Daphnia pulex (common water flea)
Lineage: Eukaryota; Metazoa; Arthropoda; Branchiopoda; Diplostraca; Daphniidae
Description: uncharacterized LOC124188617, transcript variant X2
Source: RNAcentral